RNAcentral lists this ribosomal RNA (441 nucleotides) under uncultured bacterium. Its description in RNAcentral is "bacterial SSU rRNA". It matches the Rfam family "Bacterial small subunit ribosomal RNA", at positions 557 to 996 of the family's 1533-position model. The record is from RNAcentral.
GGCGUAAAGGGAGCGUAGGCGGCGUGACAAGUCACUUGUGAAAUCUCCGGGCUUAACUCGGAGCUGCCAAGUGAUACUGUUGUGCUAGAGUGCAGAAGGGGCAAUCGGAAUUCUUGGUGUAGCGGUGAAAUGCGUAGAUAUCAAGAGGAACACCUGAGGCGAAGGCGGAUUGCUGGGCUGACACUGACGCUGAGGCUCGAAAGCUAGGGGAGCAAACGGGAUUAGAUACCCCGGUAGUCCUAGCCCUAAACGAUGAAUACUUGGUGUCUGGAGCUUCAAUUCUCCGGGUGCCGUCGCUAACGUUUUAAGUAUUCCGCCUGGGGAGUACGUACGCAAGUAUGAAACUCAAAGGAAUUGACGGGGACCCGCACAAGCGGUGGAGCAUGAGGUUUAAUUCGACGCAACGCGAAGAACCUUACCUGGACUAGAAUGCGAGGGAAG